UGGGGAAUCUUCCGCAAUGGACGAAAGUCUGACGGAGCAACGCCGCGUGAGUGAUGACGGUCUUCGGAUUGUAAAGCUCUGUUAAUCGGGACGAAUGGUUUGUGUGCAAAUAGUGCAUAGACAUGACGGUACCGGAAUAGAAAGCCACGGCUAACUACGUGCCAGCAGCCGCGGUAAUACGUAGGUGGCAAGCGUUGUCCGGAAUUAUUGGGCGUAAAGCGCGCGCAGGCGGACUAGCCAGUCAGUCUUAAAAGUUCGGGGCUUAACCCCGUGAUGGGAUUGAAACUACUAGUCUAGAGUAUCGGAGAGGAAAGUGGAAUUCCUAGUGUAGCGGUGAAAUGCGUAGAUAUUAGGAAGAACACCAGUGGCGAAGGCGACUUUCUGGACGAACACUGACGCUGAGGCGCGAAAGCCAGGGGAGCGAACAGG
RNAcentral lists this ribosomal RNA (429 nucleotides) under Verrucomicrobiota bacterium. Its description in RNAcentral is "Verrucomicrobia bacterium partial 16S ribosomal RNA". It matches the Rfam family "Bacterial small subunit ribosomal RNA", at positions 355 to 776 of the family's 1533-position model. The record is from RNAcentral. Lineage: Bacteria; Pseudomonadati; Verrucomicrobiota.